Molecule: ribosomal RNA, 245 nt
Filed under: uncultured Sphingobium sp.
Lineage: Bacteria; Pseudomonadati; Pseudomonadota; Alphaproteobacteria; Sphingomonadales; Sphingobiaceae
Description: partial 16S ribosomal RNA
Rfam family: Bacterial small subunit ribosomal RNA
Source: RNAcentral
GAUGAAUGGCCCCCUCCUAGCGCGUGCUCACUCACUCAAAUGAUAUGCGAGUGGUGCGCUGGGCGUGGGGCACAGCAAGCAUACUGGCGAACGGGUGCGUAACGCGUGGGAAUCUGCCGAAUAGUUACUCGAAAUCCUGAAUAAUUAUAAAGCAAGCUAAUUCGCGCUGUUCGAUGAGCCCACGUAGUAUCAGGUAGUUGGUUAGGUAAAGGCUGACCAAUCCAAUGAUGCUUAGCUGGUCUUUU